Molecule: transfer RNA, 78 nt
Filed under: Burkholderiales bacterium
Lineage: Bacteria; Pseudomonadati; Pseudomonadota; Betaproteobacteria; Burkholderiales
Also listed under: 1 other name
Description: tRNA-Ile
Rfam family: tRNA
About the family: Transfer RNA (tRNA) molecules are approximately 80 nucleotides in length. Their secondary structure includes four short double-helical elements and three loops (D, anti-codon, and T loops). Further hydrogen bonds mediate the characteristic L-shaped molecular structure. tRNAs have two regions of fundamental functional importance: the anti-codon, which is responsible for specific mRNA codon recognition, and the 3' end, to which the tRNAs corresponding amino acid is attached (by aminoacyl-tRNA synthetases). tRNAs cope with the degeneracy of the genetic code in two manners: having more than one tRNA (with a specific anti-codon) for a particular amino acid; and 'wobble' base-pairing, i.e. permitting non-standard base-pairing at the 3rd anti-codon position.
Source: RNAcentral
GGGCCUCUAGCUCAUGUCGGUUAGAGCAGCGGACUCAUAAUCCGUUGGUGCCGGGUUCGACUCCCGGGGGGCCCACCA